Molecule: long non-coding RNA, 1480 nt
Organism: Ylistrum balloti
Lineage: Eukaryota; Metazoa; Mollusca; Bivalvia; Pectinida; Pectinidae
Exons: 4
Source: RefSeq, a predicted model, not a curated record
AAUGGUAGACAUGAAGUUAGCGGCGUUGCUCUUGUUGCCGAUUUUCAUCACGGCAGUUUUGUCGGAUGGCGAAACAGGAACAAGGAAAGCUGUGGUUGAGAGUUGCAGUGGAUGACGUUUGAACCGCUUUCCUGCCAUAAAAAGAUUUGUAUAUGAAGAUGUUGAUGCAGGAUUAUAUCCAGGUGUUGAGUUCCGCAGGAAGUCAGGAGCUCCGCCAGUGUUGAUCCUUGAUGAGGGCGAGGAAAAUGAGGAGAGAAUCAGUUUGGAAAGUCAUGACUUGGAGUCCUGUCGAAAGCUCAUGGAAGAAAAGGGUUUCAAGCGAAAGGAAAAAAAAUCUGUUGUAACUGAUAAAGAAGAUUUGUAAAAACCUACAUAGUUAGAGAGAAACCUGUUAGAAUUCAUAUCAUUACUUAUACUCUGGUAGGACGAGUAAUGAAUGGAAUGUAUUUUUAUGUAAACAUCAAUAUAUUCAUGUUACAAAAUUUUUUAAGAAAUAAGAUUCAGUAGAAAAACGAGAAGCAUAUAUGUGAUUUUGAUUUUAGUCCCAUGUGAGAAGAGUUCUGAGGCAACUGAAGCUAUAUAUACUGACGUGUCAAAAUGAUUUUAUCCUGAAUUAAGCCCAGUAGCAUCACAUAUUUUUUGUAUACCACUGACAAAGUCAGAGUUAUGCUUGUUUAAUCUAGGAUGUUGAAAUGGCAAUUAUUAGUAAUUUUAAUGAAUAGCAAUAUUUACCAAUAUAUAUGGGUGGACCUAUUACCAGGCAGAGACUUAUCUCAGGAUAAAUGGGUAUAUUUGUAAUGUUUUCAUAAAACAAAACUGAAAUUAAGUCUUGUAUGUAUUUAUAUAAUACAUUUAUAUUUUUUAAUACAGGGCAUUCCAUUUCGUUCAAAAUCAUAGUUUACUUGCUGUUAUCAUUGACAGGUCAAUCUGAAUGUGUUUUAUUUAGAAGUUGAAAGUAGACUGUUACACUACCUGUGACAAGGAUUGAUUAGAAUGAAUGUCUUGAUACGAAGGCUCUAGUGUGAUUGUUCAAUUCUUUCUAUCUUGUUAAGAAAUGAGAUAUUUUAUAUCAGUUACUAUUUUCAUAAUGAAAUUUUAUCUAUUUAAAUAUCUACACAAUGUACAUGUGCAAUAAACAUGUUUUCCUUUAGAAAUAUUCAGGUUUGAUAAUCUCUCAACAUGUCUUAAGUGUGUGUUUUGAAUGCAUGUGUGUGCGAGAAUUAUUUAACAGGUAAAAUUGCAUAAUUUGUAUUUAUUUCCAUCAUGAAGAAAGAUGUUGUCGAGAUUCACCAGACAAUGACUUGUCUUGCUAGUUUUCUGUGAGGGCAAGAUUUUAUGAAAUUAGGAACAAAAACUUUAGCUGUUUCUAAUGGAUGGUUGACACUUGUACCCCAUAAUGGAAACUAGCAAUGAAGUUGUUGUGUAAUGUCUCUUGAUGAUGAAGCAUGGAGAAAUCACAAUAAAAUCUGUGAUAAAUCUU